RNAcentral lists this ribosomal RNA (253 nucleotides) under uncultured bacterium. Its description in RNAcentral is "partial 16S ribosomal RNA". It matches the Rfam family "Bacterial small subunit ribosomal RNA", at positions 524 to 776 of the family's 1533-position model. The record is from RNAcentral.
UACGUAGGGUGCAAGCGUUAAUCGGAAUUACUGGGCGUAAAGCGUGCGCAGGCGGUUUUGUAAGUCUGUCGUGAAAUCCCCGGGCUCAACCUGGGAAUUGCGAUGGAGACUGCAAGGCUAGAAUCUGGCAGAGGGGGGUAGAAUUCCACGUGUAGCAGUGAAAUGCGUAGAGAUGUGGAGGAACACCGAUGGCGAAGGCAGCCCCCUGGGUCAAAAUUGACGCUCAUGCACGAAAGCGUGGGGAGCAAACAGG